GUGCUCGCUUUGGCAGCACAUAUACUAAAAUUGGAAUUAUACAGAGAUUAGUAUGGCCCCUGUGCAAGGAUGACAUGCAAAUUCGUAAAGUGUUCCAUUAUAAA
Molecule: small nuclear RNA, 104 nt
Organism: Suncus etruscus (white-toothed pygmy shrew)
Lineage: Eukaryota; Metazoa; Chordata; Mammalia; Eulipotyphla; Soricidae
Source: RefSeq, a predicted model, not a curated record